This 474-nucleotide ribosomal RNA is filed under the name uncultured organism. Its description in RNAcentral is "partial 16S ribosomal RNA". It matches the Rfam family "Bacterial small subunit ribosomal RNA", at positions 334 to 799 of the family's 1533-position model. The record is from RNAcentral.
CACUCCUGCGGGAGGCAGCAGUGGGGAAUAUUGCACAAUGGGCGCAAGCCUGAUGCAGCCAUGCCGCGUGUAUGAAGAAGGCCUUCGGGUUGUAAAGUACUUUCAGCGGGGAGGAAGGCAAUACGGUUAAUAACCGUGUUGAUUGACGUUACCCGCAGAAGACGAACCGGCUAACUCCGUGCCAGCAGCCGCGGUAAUACGGAGGGUGCAAGCGUUAAUCGGAAUUACUGGGCGGAAAGCGCACGCAGGCGGUCUGUCAAGUCGGAUGUGAAAUCCCCGGGCUCAACCUGGGAACUGCAUUCGAAACUGGCAGGCUUGAGUCUUGUAGAGGGGGGUAGAAUUCCAGGUGUAGCGGUGAAAUGCGUAGAGAUCUGGAGGAAUGCCGGUGGCGAAGGCGGCCCCCUGGACAAAGACUGACGCUCAGGUGCGAAAGCGUGGGGAGCAAACAGGAUUAGAAACCCCUGUAGUCUCAUG